UUUUGGUAGCAGCUACAAAGAAGGACAGAGGAUAUUUGAGCUCCAAGCUGAACUAGCUCAGCUCAUCAUACAAGCUUUUAGAAAGCACAUCAUUCCUGGAUAUAGUUAUCUUCCAACGAAGGAAAAUAGAAUGAUGAAGGCAAAAGCCAGAGAAGUCCAAGAUAUACUGAGAGGGAUAGUUAACAAGAGGUUAAGGGCUAGAGAAGCUGGUGAAGCACCCAGCGAUGACUUGCUUGGUAUACUUCUUGAAUCUAAUUUGGGACAAGUUAAAGGAAAUGGAAUGAGCAAUGAGGAUGUGAUAGAGGAAUGCAAGCUGUUCUAUUUCGCCGGGCAAGAGACAACUUCAGUACUUCUAGUUUGGACAAUGGUUUUGCUAAGCCAACACCAAGAUUGGCAAGCUAAGGCAA
Long non-coding RNA from Brassica oleracea var. oleracea, 407 nucleotides. RefSeq lists it as uncharacterized. NCBI's taxonomy places the organism in Eukaryota, Viridiplantae, Streptophyta, Magnoliopsida, Brassicales, Brassicaceae. The record is from RefSeq and is a predicted model, not a curated record. The transcript is spliced from 2 exons.